CUAAAAACCUAGCCCAACAAACAUGAAUUUUACUAAAUUAACUAAACCCCUCUUAACAAACCAUUUUAACAUUCUAGUAAAGGAGAUUGAAAAACUUAUUUGGAGCUAUAAAAACAGUACCGCAAGGGAACGGUGAAAUAUUAUGAAAAACUUCAAGCAGCAAAAAGUAAAGAUUACCUCUUGUACCUUUCGCAUCAUGGUUUAACUAGUCUAACCAAGCAAAACGUAUUUAAGUUUGACUUCCCGAAACUAAGUGAGCUACUUCAGGGCAGCUAGAAGAGCAAACCCGUCUCUGUAGCAAAAGAGUGGGACGACCCUCAAGUAGUGGUGACAGACCUAACGAACUUAGUGAUAGCUGGUUGCUCAAGAAACGGAUUUAAGUCCAACCUGAAAGUUUUAUAACCUGAGUUCAUCAAAACAAUCACCUAGCUUUCAGCGUAAUUCAAAUAAGGUACAGCCUAUUUGAAACAGGAUACAACCUAGCCUAGUGGAUAAGAUCAGCCUAACAUACAAUCAAGUGGGCCUAAAAGCAGCCACCUUUAAUAUAGCGUCAAAGCUAAAUUGUAACCGAGCCCAAUUACUUAACCCAUAUCUUAAUCCCCUGCCAAUACUGAGUAAUUCUAUAAUAUUAUAGAAAUUUUUAUGUUAAAACUAGUAACAAGAAGAAGAUUCUUCUCUUAAAUGUACGUAUAAAUCAGAAAAGACAAGCUACUGAUACUUAACACCUCUGAGCAUAAAGUAGUAACUAACCAAGAAAACUCUACUUUUACUGGUGUUAAUCUAACACAAGAACAUUCUAAGAAAGA
RNAcentral lists this ribosomal RNA (806 nucleotides) under Bufo bufo (common toad). RNAcentral's name for it is "partial 16S ribosomal RNA". The stretch from base 165 to 806 matches the Rfam family "Bacterial large subunit ribosomal RNA", at positions 568 to 1681 of the family's 2925-position model. The record is from RNAcentral. Lineage: Eukaryota; Metazoa; Chordata; Amphibia; Anura; Bufonidae.